GCGAGCGUGGCGGAACUGGCAGACGCGCCAGGUUUAGGUCCUGGUGUCCAAUACGGACGUGUAGGUUCGACUCCUAUCGCUCGCA
Molecule: transfer RNA, 85 nt
Filed under: Phycisphaerales bacterium
Lineage: Bacteria; Pseudomonadati; Planctomycetota; Phycisphaerae; Phycisphaerales
Description: tRNA-Leu
Rfam family: tRNA
About the family: Transfer RNA (tRNA) molecules are approximately 80 nucleotides in length. Their secondary structure includes four short double-helical elements and three loops (D, anti-codon, and T loops). Further hydrogen bonds mediate the characteristic L-shaped molecular structure. tRNAs have two regions of fundamental functional importance: the anti-codon, which is responsible for specific mRNA codon recognition, and the 3' end, to which the tRNAs corresponding amino acid is attached (by aminoacyl-tRNA synthetases). tRNAs cope with the degeneracy of the genetic code in two manners: having more than one tRNA (with a specific anti-codon) for a particular amino acid; and 'wobble' base-pairing, i.e. permitting non-standard base-pairing at the 3rd anti-codon position.
Source: RNAcentral